RNAcentral lists this non-coding RNA (24 nucleotides) under Arabidopsis thaliana (thale cress). The record is from RNAcentral. Lineage: Eukaryota; Viridiplantae; Streptophyta; Magnoliopsida; Brassicales; Brassicaceae.
GUUAAAAAGCUCGUAGUUGAACCU